Molecule: ribosomal RNA, 1636 nt
Filed under: Eupristina koningsbergeri
Lineage: Eukaryota; Metazoa; Arthropoda; Insecta; Hymenoptera; Agaonidae
Description: 16S ribosomal RNA
Source: RNAcentral
AAAUUUUUUAUUUAUAAAAUUAUUUUAAAAAUAAAUAAAUAUAAUUUAUAUUAUAAAUUUGCUUAUUAAAAUAUAUAUUUCGUUAGAAAAUUAAAUUUUUGAAAAAUUAAAAAUUUAAUUUUUAAAAGUAUUUAAUUUAUUAUUAAGUAAAUUAUAUAAGUUAAUUAUGAAUAAAUAAAGUAAUAAAUAAAAAGUUGUGAUUUAGUAAUUAUUUAAAAAAAUUUAAUGUAUAUAUAUAUAGAUAGUAUUGAAAAAGAUCUUUAAUUAAAUAAAAUAAAGUAAAAAAUAAUAUUUUUUACCUUUUGUAUCAGGGUUUAUUAAAAUUAAUAAGAUGAUAUUCUUAUUUCUCGAAAUAAAUUGAACUAAUUAAUUAUGAAUUUUAAUGUUGCAUUAUUAUUGAUAAUAGUUAAUUAGAAGUGAAAUGCUUUUCGAAAUUUAUAUAUCUAGUUAUUUUAUAAAUAAAUUCAAUUUAGAUUAAUAUAUAAAAAUUUACUAAUUUAAUAAGUAAAUUUUUUAUAUUAAUUAAAAAUUUAAGGGAUAAGCUUUAAAUUUAUUUUAAUAUAUGUAAAUUAAUUUAUAAUUAUAUUUAUAAUUUAUAUAAUAUUUAAUUAUUUAUAAAUUAAAAUUUAUUAACUUUCGUUAAUAUAAAUUAAGUUUUAGAUUUAUUUAUAUAUUUAGUUAUUUAUAAAAUUAAAAAUUUUAAUUAUUAAAAUUUUGUAAUAAUGAUAAAAUUAGUAGAUUUUAAAAUUAAUUAUAAUUAAUUUUAAUUAUUCUAUAUUUUAGAAUAAUUUAUUUGAUAGAUUAAAUUAAGGAAUUCGGCAACAAUUAUUAAUAUAAAAUUUAUAAAUGUUCGUCUGUUUAAUAAAAACAUAGUUUAUUGAUUAUAAUAUUAGAUAUUUCCUGCCCAAUGAUUUAAUUUAUAAAUUUAAUGGCUGCAGUAUUUUGACUGUACAAAGGUAGCAUAAUCAUUUGGCUUUUAAUUAGAGUCUUGUAUGAAGGGAUAAACGAAACAUAAUCUGUCUCAAUUUAAUUAGUAUUCGAAUUUUAUUUUAAGUAAAAAUUCUUAAAUGUUAUUAAAAGACGAGAAGACCCUAUAGAAUUUAAUAAAUUUUGAUUUUUUUUAUUUUUAAAAUUAAAUAUUAGAGAUAUAAAUUUAUUUGAUUGGGGAUAAUUAGAAAAUUUAAUAAAUUUUUCUUUUAAAUAUUUUAGUAAUAAUUUAUUAAUUUUAAUGAAUAAUUAUUAAUACAAUAUAUUAUAUUAAUGAAUAUUAUUUUAUUUAAAUAAUUUAAAUAAAAAAUUUAUACAUUAAUUUAUGAAUUAUAAAUAUUUAUUUGUAACCAUUAUAAAUGAAUAAAAAUUUAAUUACCUUAGGGAUAACAGCGUAAUUAUUUUGGAGAUUAAUUUUGAUAAAAUAGUUUGCGACCUCGAUGUUGAAUUAAGUUAAAUAGUUAAUUGAGCAAUUAACUAAAUUAAGUCUGUUCGACUUUUAAAAACUUACAUGAUUUGAGUUUAGAACGGUGUAAGCCAGUUCGGAUUCUAUCUUUAAUUAUUUAUAAUAGUAUUGUACGAAAGGACUUAUUAUUAUUACAAUAUUGUAAAUAUUUAUGAAUAGAAAAUAAUUAUUGUUUAAAAUUUA